GACGAACGCUGGCGGCGUGCUUAACACAUGCAAGUCGAACGGAAAGGCCCUGCUUUUGUGGGGUUCUCGAGUGGCGAACGGGUGAGUAACACGUGAGUAACCUGCCCUUGACUUUGGGAUAACUUCAGGAAACUGGGGCUAAUACCGGAUAGGAGCUCCUGCUGCAUGGUGGGGGGUGGAAAGUUUCGGCGGUUGGGGAUGGACUCGCGGCUUAUGAGCUUGUUGGUGGGGUAGUUGCUUGCCAAGGCUUUGACGGGUAGCCGGCCUGAGAGGGUGACCGGCGACAUUGGUACUGAGAUAGGGACCAGAGUCGUAUGGGAGGCAGCAGUGGGGAAUAUUGCCCAGUGGGCGGAAGCCUGAUGAGGCAACGCCGGGUGCGGGAUGACGGCCUUCGGGGUGUAAACCGCUUUCGCCUGUGACGAAGCGUGAGUGACGGUAAUGGAUAAAGAAGCACCGGCUAACUACGUG
This 468-nucleotide ribosomal RNA is filed under the name uncultured bacterium. Its description in RNAcentral is "partial 16S ribosomal RNA". It matches the Rfam family "Bacterial small subunit ribosomal RNA", at positions 28 to 507 of the family's 1533-position model. The record is from RNAcentral.